Molecule: ribosomal RNA, 404 nt
Filed under: uncultured bacterium
Lineage: Bacteria
Description: partial 16S ribosomal RNA
Rfam family: Bacterial small subunit ribosomal RNA
Source: RNAcentral
GAUGAACGCUGACAGAAUGCUUAACACAUGCAAGUCAACUGUGGCGGACGGGUGAGUAACGCGUAAAGAACUUGCCUCACAGUUAGUGACAACAUUUGGAAACGAAUGCUAAUACCUGAUACUGUGAGAGAGCUUUGCGUCCCAUUAGCUCGUUGGAGAGGUAACGGCUCACCAAGGCGAUGAUGGGUAGCCGGCCUGAGAGGGUGAUCGGCCACAAGGGGACUGGGACACGGGCAGUACUGAAACGUGAGGAAGCAGUGGGGACUAGAUGACAAUGGGCCAAAGUAUGAUCAAGGAAUUCUGUGUGCACGAUGAAGUUGUCGGAAUGUAAAGGGCUUUGAGUUGGGAAGCGGUACCAACAGAAGAAGUAACGGCUAAAUACGUGCCAGCAGCCGCGGUAAUUC